UUUCUGCGGAGUACACAGACAAAGUUGGAGAGCUAGCAAAGAAGUAUGGUCUGAAGCUCCACAUUGAUGGAGCUCGUAUAUUCAAUGCAUCAGUUGCACUUGGAGUGCCUGUUCAUAGGCUUGUACAGGCAGCUGAUUCAGUUUCGGUAUGCUUAUCAAAAGGUCUUGGUGCUCCAGUUGGAUCUGUGAUUGUUGGUUCGAAGAGCUUCAUUGCCAGGGCCAAAAUCCUGAGGAAGACUCUAGGCGGUGGAAUGAGGCAAAUUGGAGUCCUUUGCGCUGCUGCUUUUACCGCUUUACAAGAGAAUCUUGUUAAGCUGGAAGGAGAUCACAGAAAGGCUAAGAUUUUGGCUGCGGAACUUAACAAAAUCAAAGGGCUUAAAGUUGAUGUUGCCACUGUAGAGACCAACAUUGUAUAUUGCGACAUACUGAAGGG
RNAcentral lists this unclassified non-coding RNA (433 nucleotides) under Hevea brasiliensis (rubber tree). The record is from RNAcentral. Lineage: Eukaryota; Viridiplantae; Streptophyta; Magnoliopsida; Malpighiales; Euphorbiaceae.